RNAcentral lists this ribosomal RNA (435 nucleotides) under uncultured bacterium. RNAcentral's name for it is "partial 16S ribosomal RNA". It matches the Rfam family "Bacterial small subunit ribosomal RNA", at positions 29 to 507 of the family's 1533-position model. The record is from RNAcentral.
AACGAACGCUGGCGGCAUGCCUAACACAUGCAAGUCGAACGAUUGCCGUCGGGUGAUAGUGGCGCACGGGUGCGUAACGCGUGGGAAUCUGCCCGUAGGUUCGGAAUAACAGCUGGAAACGGCUGCUAAUACCGGCUGAUAUCGCGAGAGCAAAGAUUUAUCGCCUGAGGAUGAGCCCGCGUUGGAUUAGGUAGAUGGUGGGGUAAAGGCCUACCAAGCCGACGAUACAUAGCUGGUCUGAGAGGAUGAUCAGCCACACUGGGACUGAGACACGGCCCAGACUCCUACGCGAGGCAGCAGUGGCGAAUAUUGCACAAUCGGCGCAAGCCUGAUCCAGCAAUGCCGCGUGAGUGAUAAAGGCCGUAGGGUUGUAAAGCUCUUUUACCCGGGAAGAUAAUGACUGUACCGGGAGAAUAAGCCCCGGCUAACUCCGUG